RNAcentral lists this ribosomal RNA (577 nucleotides) under uncultured bacterium. Its description in RNAcentral is "bacterial SSU rRNA". It matches the Rfam family "Bacterial small subunit ribosomal RNA", at positions 9 to 581 of the family's 1533-position model. The record is from RNAcentral.
GAGUUUGAUCAUGGCUCAGAUUGAACGCUGGCGGCAUGCUUUACACAUGCAAGUCGAACGGUAACAGGGAGCUUGCUCCGCUGACGAGUGGCGAACGGGUGAGUAAUGCGUCGGAACGUGCCGAGUAGUGGGGGAUAACGCAUCGAAAGGUGUGCUAAUACCGCAUACGAACUGAGGUUGAAAGUGGGGGACCUUCGGGCCUCACGCUAUUCGAGCGGCCGACGUCUGAUUAGCUAGUAGGUGAGGUAAAGGCUCACCUAGGCGACGAUCAGUAGCGGGUCUGAGAGGAUGAUCCGCCACACUGGGACUGAGACACGGCCCAGACUCCUACGGGAGGCAGCAGUGGGGAAUUUUGGACAAUGGGCGCAAGCCUGAUCCAGCCAUGCCGCGUGUCUGAAGAAGGCCUUCGGGUUGUAAAGGACUUUUGUCUGGGAGCAAAUACCCGGUGUUAAUAGCGCCGGGGGCUGAGAGUACCAGAAGAAUAAGCACCGGCUAACUACGUGCCAGCAGCCGCGGUAAUACGUAGGGUGCAAGCGUUAAUCGGGAUUACUGGGCGUAAAGCGUGCGCAGGCGGUUU